AUACGGAGGAUCCGAGCGUUAUCCGGAUUUAUUGGGUUUAAAGGGUGCGCAGGCGGCCAUUUAAGUCAGCGGUUAAAUCGUGGGGCUCAACCCCAUUCUGCCGUUGAUACUGGGUGGCUUGAUUGCGGUCGAGGUUGGCGGAAUUCGUUGUGUAGCGGUGAAAUGCAUAGAUAUGACGAAGAACACCGAUUGCGUAGGCAGCAGACCAGACCGCAAAUGACGCUCAUGCACGAAAGUGCGGGGAUCGAACAGGAUUAGAUACCCUGGUAGUCCGCACAGUAAACGAUGAAUACUUGUUUUCGGCGAUAUAAUGUCGGAGGCAAAGCGAAAGCGAUAAGUAUUCCACCUGGGGAGUACGCCGGCAACGGUGAAACUCAAAGGAAUUGACGUGG
This 392-nucleotide ribosomal RNA is filed under the name uncultured bacterium. RNAcentral describes it as "partial 16S ribosomal RNA". It matches the Rfam family "Bacterial small subunit ribosomal RNA", at positions 523 to 918 of the family's 1533-position model. The record is from RNAcentral.